UCCCCGUUACCAAGGCAGUCUGGUUAGAAAAAUACAACUAACCAUGAGGGUUGCGCUCGUUUAAGGACUUAACCUAACAUCUCACGACACGAGCUGACGACGACCAUGCAUCACCUGUCACUCGUCCAACUAAAUGACCUCUAUGUUUCCAUAAAGUACGACAAGGAUGUCAAGUCUGGGUAAGGUUCUUCGCGUAGCCUCGAAUUAAACCACACGCUCCACCGCUUGUGCGGGUCCCCGUCAAUUCCUUUGAGUUUUAGCCUUGCGGCCGUACUCCCCAGGCGGGAUACUUAACGCGUUAGCUUCGCUACCGAGCGGGUCGAUACGCCCAACAGCUAGUAUCCAUCGUUUACGGCGUGGACUAC
Molecule: unclassified non-coding RNA, 365 nt
Filed under: uncultured bacterium
Lineage: Bacteria
Description: contains 16S-23S intergenic spacer region
Source: RNAcentral